UACGUAGGAGGCGAGCGUUGUCCGGAUUCACUGGGCGUAAAGGGCGCGUAGGCGGCGGCUUGAGUCCCUGCGUGAAAUCUCCCGGCUCAACCGGGAGGGUGCGCGGGAUACUGGGCGGCUUGAGGACAUCAGAGGAGAGCGGAAUCCCCGGUGUAGUGGUGAAAUGCGUAGAUAUCGUAAGGAAGACCAGUGGCGAAGGCGGGUCUCUGGACAGUUCCUGACGCUGAGGCACGAAGGUCAGGGGAGCAAACGGG
RNAcentral lists this ribosomal RNA (254 nucleotides) under uncultured bacterium. Its description in RNAcentral is "partial 16S ribosomal RNA". It matches the Rfam family "Bacterial small subunit ribosomal RNA", at positions 524 to 776 of the family's 1533-position model. The record is from RNAcentral.